GAUGAAGAACGUAGCGAAAUGCGAUAAGUAGUGUGAAUUGCAGAUUUCAGUGAAUCAUCGAAUCUUUGAACGCACAUUGCGCCCUUUGGUAUUCCUUAGGGCAUGCCUGUUCGAGCGUCAUUUAAACCUUCAAGCUCAGCUUGGUGAUGGGUGACUGUCCGCUGCCUCGCCCCGGGGUGCGCCGCGGACUCGCCUCAAAUUUAUUGGCGGCCGGUACGUUGGCUUCGAGCGCAGCAGAAACGCGUAACUCGAGGUCUCCGUGGCGGCUCCCACAAGCAACCUUCAUUAUUUUGACCUCGGAUCAGGUAGGGAUACCCGCUGAACUUAAGCAUAUCAAUAAGCGGAGGA
RNAcentral lists this unclassified non-coding RNA (348 nucleotides) under soil metagenome. RNAcentral's name for it is "partial contains 5.8S ribosomal RNA, internal transcribed spacer 2, and large subunit ribosomal RNA". The stretch from base 1 to 120 matches the Rfam family "5.8S ribosomal RNA", at positions 35 to 154 of the family's 154-position model. The record is from RNAcentral.